This 253-nucleotide ribosomal RNA is filed under the name uncultured bacterium. RNAcentral's name for it is "partial 16S ribosomal RNA". It matches the Rfam family "Bacterial small subunit ribosomal RNA", at positions 524 to 776 of the family's 1533-position model. The record is from RNAcentral.
UACGAAGGGGACUAGCGUUGCUCGGAAUCACUGGGCGUAAAGCGCACGUAGGCGGAUGUGUCAGUCAGGGGUGAAAUCCCGGGGCUCAACCUCGGAACUGCCUUUGAUACAGCACGUCUCGAGUCCGGAAGAGGUGGGUGGAAUUCCUAGUGUAGAGGUGAAAUUCGUAGAUAUUAGGAAGAACACCGGUGGCGAAGGCGGCCCACUGGUCCGGUACUGACGCUGAGGUGCGAAAGCGUGGGGAGCAAACAGG